AGACGUCUACAUUAGAUACCCGGGUAGUCCCAGCCGUAAACUAUGCGCGUUAGGUGUAUCGGUGACCACGAGUCACCGAGGUGCCGAAGGGAAACCGUGAAACGUGCCGCCUGGGAAGUACGGUCGCAAGGCUGAAACUUAAGGGAAUUGGCGGGGAGCACCACAACGGGUGGAGCCUGCGGUUUAAUUGGACUCAACGCCGGGAAGCUCACCGGAUAAGACAGCGGAAUGAUUGCCGGGCUGAAGACUCUGCAUGACUAGCUG
This 264-nucleotide ribosomal RNA is filed under the name uncultured archaeon. RNAcentral describes it as "partial 16S ribosomal RNA". It matches the Rfam family "Archaeal small subunit ribosomal RNA", at positions 717 to 982 of the family's 1478-position model. The record is from RNAcentral.